Molecule: ribosomal RNA, 492 nt
Filed under: uncultured bacterium
Lineage: Bacteria
Description: partial 16S ribosomal RNA
Rfam family: Bacterial small subunit ribosomal RNA
Source: RNAcentral
AGCGAACGCUGGCGGUAGGCCUAACACAUGCAAGUCGAACGGCAACACAGUAAGAGCUUGCUCUUCCGGGGUGCGAGUGGCGGACGGGUCAGGAAUACAUCGGAAUCUACUUUUUCGUGUGGCAUAACGUAGGUAAACUUACGCUAAUACCGCAUACGACCUUCGGUUGAAAGCAGUGGAUCUUCGGGCCUUGCGGGAUUGAAUGAGCCGCUGUCGGAUUAGCUAGUUGGCGGGGUAAUGGCCCACCAAGGCGACGAUCCGUAGCUGGUCUGAGAGGAUGAUCGGCGACACUAGAGCUGGAACAGGGUCAUGGGUACUGCGGGAGGCAGCAGUGGGGAACAUUGGGCAAUGGGCGCAAAUCUGGUCCAGCCAUACCGCGUGGGUGAAAAAGACCUUCGGGUUGUAAAGCCCUUUUGUGGGUAAAGAAAAGCAGCAGGUUAAUACCACGCUGUUCUGACGGUACCCAGAGAAUAAGCACCGGCUAACUUCGUG